GGAGGGGGCGGGGAGGAGCGGCGGCCCUGCCCCCCUUCUUGCCCGGUCCCCAGAUGAGACCCGGAGAUGUGCGACCCCACCCGGACGGUCAGAGCACCCGGUCCCUGCUGGCUCAGCCCAGACCCCGCGCGGAGGCGCCCGGUCCUCCGGCCACAACGCUGCCUCUGCCCUGGCGCAGGAGCGCUCGGCGAGCGGGGCGCGCGGCCGGCGGUGGUGGGGAGCAGCGGCAGGCGGCAGCCCAGAGCUAGCCUUGCGGGACGGGCUGGGAGCUGGGGGCUGGCACGGGAGCAGUGGGCACCUCAGAGGCCGGAGCCCCUGACCCUCCAGGCCGGAGACGCGGCCGUGGGGCAUGAAACGCUUCUUUCGAACGUGGAAACGGCCGGAGUCAGAGCUGCUCCAGGUGAGAUGAACUGGACAAACGAGUUUUCUGACAGAGUGGCAUCUCAGUGGGUACCGGACACCCACCUGCCUGGCGCUCUGGGAUGGAUUUCUACACAGAUGCCACCUCUGUGG
Eptesicus fuscus (big brown bat) is the source of this 513-nucleotide long non-coding RNA. RefSeq lists it as uncharacterized. The record is from RefSeq and is a predicted model, not a curated record. The transcript has 3 exons. Lineage: Eukaryota; Metazoa; Chordata; Mammalia; Chiroptera; Vespertilionidae.